UUUCUGCAAGAAUCUUCUAUACUUGGCAUUGUGAUGGUGGCUUGUUGCUAAUGGUGGCUCUCGUAGCUUGACUUCAAUUUGCAUCUACUAGAUCUGAAUGGAAUGACUUCAGGUUCCUGAUGUGAAAUAUCGGAUGUAUUUUCAUCCACUUUGGUGGAUCAAUCUUGUAAGAGGUCUUUUUAACAUUGGCAAUAAUUGUUAUCGGGCCUUCAUACUUUUGCACUAGCCGUUGGUCUCUUUUUCUUAGGAACCUAAG
RNAcentral lists this long non-coding RNA (256 nucleotides) under Theobroma cacao (cacao). RNAcentral's name for it is "long non-coding RNA (TCAC_LNC003414)". Lineage: Eukaryota; Viridiplantae; Streptophyta; Magnoliopsida; Malvales; Malvaceae. The record is from RNAcentral.